AGAGUUUGAUCCUGGCUCAGAACGAACGCUGGCGGCGUGGAUAAGACAUGCAAGUCGAACGAGAGAAUUGCUAGCUUGCUAAUAAUUCUCUAGUGGCGCACGGGUGAGUAACACGUGAGUAACCUGCCCCCGAGAGCGGGAUAGCCCUGGGAAACUGGGAUUAAUACCGCAUAGUAUCGAAAGAUUAAAGCAGCAAUGCGCUUGGGGAUGGGCUCGCGGCCUAUUAGUUAGUUGGUGAGGUAACGGCUCACCAAGGCGAUGACGGGUAGCCGGUCUGAGAGGAUGUCCGGCCACACUGGAACUGAGACACGGUCCAGACACCUACGGGUGGCAGCAGUCGAGAAUCAUUCACAAUGGGGGAAACCCUGAUGGUGCGACGCCGCGUGGGGGAAUGAAGGUCUUCGGAUUGUAAACCCCUGUCAUGUGGGAGCAAAUUAAAAAGAUAGUACCACAAGAGGAAGAGACGGCUAACUCUGUGCCAGCAGCCGCGGUAAUACAGAGGUCUCAAGCGUUGUUCGGAAUCACUGGGCGUAAAGCGUGCGUAGGCUGUUUCGUAAGUCGUGUGUGAAAGGCGCGGGCUCAACCCGCGGACGGCACAUGAUACUGCGAGACUAGAGUAAUGGAGGGGGAACCGGAAUUCUCGGUGUAGCAGUGAAAUGCGUAGAUAUCGAGAGGAACACUCGUGGCGAAGGCGGGUUCCUGGACAUUAACUGACGCUGAGGCACGAAGGCCAGGGGAGCGAAAGGGAUUAGAUACCCCUGUAGUCCUGGCAGUAAACGGUGCACGCUUGGUGUGCGGGGAAUCGACCCCCUGCGUGCCGGAGCUAACGCGUUAAGCGUGCCGCCUGGGGAGUACGGUCGCAAGAUUAAAACUCAAAGAAAUUGACGGGGACCCGCACAAGCGGUGGAGUAUGUGGCUUAAUUCGAUGCAACGCGAAGAACCUUACCUGGGCUUGACAUGUAAUGAACAACAUGUGAAAGCAUGCGACUCUUCGGAGGCGUUACACAGGUGCUGCAUGGCCGUCGUCAGCUCGUGUCGUGAGAUGUUUGGUUAAGUCCAGCAACGAGCGCAACCCCUGUUGCCAGUUACCAGCACGUGAAGGUGGGGACUCUGGCGAGUCUGCCCAGAUCAACUGGGAGGAAGGUGGGGACGAUGUCAGGUCAGUAUGGCCCUUAUGCCCAGGGCUGCACACGUACUACAAUGCCCAGUACAGAGGGGGCCGAAGCCGCGAGGCGGAGGAAAUCCUAAAAACUGGGCCCAGUUCGGACUGUAGGCUGCAACCCGCCUACACGAAGCCGGAAUCGCUAGUAAUGGCGCAUCAGCUACGGCGCCGUGAAUACGUUCCCGGGUCUUGUACUCACCGCCCGUCA
RNAcentral lists this ribosomal RNA (1370 nucleotides) under uncultured bacterium. Its description in RNAcentral is "bacterial SSU rRNA". It matches the Rfam family "Bacterial small subunit ribosomal RNA". The record is from RNAcentral.